This 849-nucleotide ribosomal RNA is filed under the name uncultured bacterium. RNAcentral's name for it is "bacterial SSU rRNA". It matches the Rfam family "Bacterial small subunit ribosomal RNA", at positions 1 to 856 of the family's 1533-position model. The record is from RNAcentral.
AGUGAUUAGAGUUUGAUCCUGGCUCAGGAUGAACGCUAGCGGCAGGCUUAACACAUGCAAGUCGAGGGGUAUAGUUCUUCGGAACUAGAGACCGGCGCACGGGUGCGUAACGCGUAUGCAAUCUACCUUUUACAGAGGGAUAGCCCAGAGAAAUUUGGAUUAAUACCUCAUAGUAUCUUCGAUCCGCAUGGAUUGAUUAUUAAAGUCACAACGGUAAAAGAUGAGCAUGCGUCCCAUUAGCUAGUUGGUAAGGUAACGGCUUACCAAGGCAACGAUGGGUAGGGGUCCUGAGAGGGAGAUCCCCCACACUGGUACUGAGACACGGACCAGACUCCUACGGGUGACAGCAGUGAGGAAUAUUGGUCAAUGGGCGCAAGCCUGAACCAGCCAUGCCGCGUGCAGGAUGACGGUCCUAUGGAUUGCAAACUGCUUUUAUACGAGAAGAAACACUCCUUCGUGAAGGAGCUUGACGGUAUCGUAAGAAUAAGGAUCGGCUAACUCCGUGCCAGCAGCCGCGGUAAUACGGAGGAUCCAAGCGUUAUCCGGAAUCAUUGGGUUUAAAGGGUCCGUAGGCGGUUAGAUAAGUCAGUGGUGAAAGCCCAUCGCUCAACGGUGGAACGGCCAUUGAUACUGUUUAACUUGAAUUAUUAGGAAGUAACUAGAAUAUGUAGUGUAGCGGUGAAAUGCUUAGAGAUUACAUGGAAUACCAAUUGCGAAGGCAGGUUACUACUAAUGGAUUGACGCUGAUGGACGAAAGCGUGGGUAGCGAACAGGAUUAGAUACCCUGGUAGUCCACGCCGUAAACGAUGGAUACUAGCUGUUGGGCGCAAGUUCAGUGGCUAAGCGAAA